GCCGAUGUAGCUCAGUUGGUAGAGCAGCUGAUUCGUAAUCAGCAGGUCGCCGGUUCAAGUCCGGCCAUCGGCU
This 73-nucleotide transfer RNA is filed under the name Myxococcales bacterium. RNAcentral's name for it is "tRNA-Thr". It matches the Rfam family "tRNA". Rfam says of the family: Transfer RNA (tRNA) molecules are approximately 80 nucleotides in length. The record is from RNAcentral. Lineage: Bacteria; Pseudomonadati; Myxococcota; Myxococcia; Myxococcales.